This 531-nucleotide ribosomal RNA is filed under the name uncultured bacterium. Its description in RNAcentral is "bacterial SSU rRNA". It matches the Rfam family "Bacterial small subunit ribosomal RNA", at positions 355 to 896 of the family's 1533-position model. The record is from RNAcentral.
UGGGGAAUAUUGCACAAUGGGCGCAAGNCUGAUGCAGCAACGCCGCGUGGGGGAUGACGGCCUUCGGGUUGUAAACCUCUUUUAGCAGGGAAGAAGCGAAAGUGACGGUACCUGCAGAAAGAGCGCCGGCUAACUACGUGCCAGCAGCCGCGGUAAUACGUAGGGCGCAAGCGUUAUCCGGAAUUAUUGGGCGUAAAGAGCUCGUAGGCGGUCUGUCGCGUCUGCUGUGAAAACCCGAGGCUCAACCUCGGGCCUGCAGUGGGUACGGGCAGACUAGAGUGCGGUAGGGGAGAUUGGAAUUCCUGGUGUAGCGGUGGAAUGCGCAGAUAUCAGGAGGAACACCGAUGGCGAAGGCAGAUCUCUGGGCCGUAACUGACGCUGAGGAGCGAAAGGGUGGGGAGCAAACAGGCUUAGAUACCCUGGUAGUCCACCCCGUAAACGUUGGGAACUAGUUGUGGGGUCCAUUCCACGGAUUCCGUGACGCAGCUAACGCAUUAAGUUCCCCGCCUGGGGAGUACGGCCGCAAGGCUA